This 205-nucleotide unclassified non-coding RNA is filed under the name Hevea brasiliensis (rubber tree). The record is from RNAcentral. Lineage: Eukaryota; Viridiplantae; Streptophyta; Magnoliopsida; Malpighiales; Euphorbiaceae.
GGUUUUGAGGUUGUCCCAUGCAGUGUUAAGUAUGAUCCUGCAGUGAUGUCGAAGCUUCAUGUCUAUGACAAUAUUUCAUCAGUCAACUGCCCCUUGGACCUUGACAAGUCUCAGAUCAUAAGGGAGCACGAGAGGGUUUCUUUCACUUAUGAGGUUGAAUUUGUGAAAAGUGAUAUUAGAGAACCAGUGGACACGGGCACCUUCC